Molecule: long non-coding RNA, 698 nt
Organism: Misgurnus anguillicaudatus (oriental weatherfish)
Lineage: Eukaryota; Metazoa; Chordata; Actinopteri; Cypriniformes; Cobitidae
Source: RefSeq, a predicted model, not a curated record
CUAAAUGGUACCAUUGAAUGAAUGGGGCUAAGCUAAAUGCUAUUGAACCGUCGCAGCGCGCUCCAGCACUUACGUGCACGCACACAGAUGAUAGAGGGAUGUGUCAACAAUUCUUAGUUAAGGUGAUUGAGUGAGACAGAUGUGUUUACACAGUGAUCAGUAAUAAAUGAUCUGCAGGCUUGCUUAAAGUUCAGAGUAAUGGAUGGACAGAGACGAGUCUAUCUAAACACGCAGAGACACACAGCCUGUGGUGAUGGACAGGUCGGCUGUGACUGCCAGAUGUGUCAUCAUUACAAAUGGGUCCAGUUCAGAUGAAGAAUGCCUGUUUCUUUCCAGAUUUAAAAGCUGGAUUGUCCAAUAAAUGAUAGCAGGUCAGUAUGUGGGUCGCAGAUGUCGUCAUUGGUCGAGGUGAGAGGACCAUUAGCCGCUGUUAAAUGCCGAUGUUGGCAUUCAGCAGAGAGUCUGUGUGGAAACGAAACAACAAACAGCGUUCAUCCACAACCUUCCUUAUCUCCCAUGAGUCCUCCUUGUUGUGCUGGUAAGUCCCAUCAAUAAAAGUCCACAUCUGUUACUGUGCUGUUCAGCAUGUAAAACACACAUCAAAUUCAAUGUCAUUUAUAUAGCGCACAAUUGUUCAUUCUUUCAGACACAUUUUAUAAAUGUAGUAGGGCUGUCAAAAGAUUAAUCGUGAUUAAUAA